GGAGGACAGGACAGCAGAGACGCUGUCUGCCAAGAGGCAGUGGGUGGGGGCCAUUUUUAAAGGGGGAAGAUGGGGAAGUAUAGCGAGUAGGAAGAAAAAGUAACAAAUACCUGAGCACACAGAUGUUCAGCACAACGUCAGAAAUGCUGAGAGGGAGCAUAAAGCCAGCUCAGGUCAUGAUCUCAGGUUCGUAACAUUGAGCCCCA
Lutra lutra (Eurasian river otter) is the source of this 206-nucleotide long non-coding RNA. RefSeq lists it as uncharacterized. NCBI's taxonomy places the organism in Eukaryota, Metazoa, Chordata, Mammalia, Carnivora, Mustelidae. The record is from RefSeq and is a predicted model, not a curated record. The transcript is spliced from 3 exons.